ACGCCCUACGGGGGAAAGCAGGGGAUCGCAAGACCUUGCACUAUUGGAGCGGCCGAUAUCGGAUUAGCUAGUUGGUGGGGUAACGGCUCACCAAGGCGACGAUCCGUAGCUGGUUUGAGAGGACGACCAGCCACACUGGGACUGANACACGGCCCAGACUCCUACGGGAGGCAGCAGUGGGGAAUUUUGGACAAUGGGGGAAACCCUGAUCCAGCCAUCCCGCGUGUGCGAUGAAGGCCUUCGGGUUGUAAAGCACUUUUGGCAGGAAAGAAACGUCGCGGGUUAAUACCCCGCGGAACUGACGGUACCUGCAGAAUAAGCACCGGCUAACUACGUGCCAGCAGCCGCGGUAAUACGUAGGGUGCAAGCGUUAAUCGGAAUUACUGGGCGUAAAGCGUGCGCAGGCGGUUCGGAAAGAAAGAUGUGAAAUCCCAGAGCUUAACUUUGGAACUGCAUUUUUAACUACC
RNAcentral lists this ribosomal RNA (467 nucleotides) under uncultured bacterium. Its description in RNAcentral is "bacterial SSU rRNA". It matches the Rfam family "Bacterial small subunit ribosomal RNA", at positions 189 to 637 of the family's 1533-position model. The record is from RNAcentral.